UACCUAAAUUAUUGAUGCCCUUACAGAAACACUAAUUAGAGGACAGCUGCUAACCCCACCCCACCCCCAGUCUCUUCUGUUCUCUGGCGAAACAGCUUUCCUUUGAGCUCCCUCCCACCCCCUUAAGGCAAAGGGAGUUGUAUGAUUUGAAUAUAAAGGCAGCAAGAAGAAAAUUUGAGUCUUUGGAUGCAAAAAGGCAACUGAUGGCAAGCUUCACAGCUGUUUCAGAGAGCAGCUGGCACAUUCUGCUGAAUACAUGCUCGGGUGCCUCGGGACUGAACUUGCUUGGUUUGGAUACACAUACCAGCUCGCCCUGACUGGAGUCAAUACUGGGUAC
This 337-nucleotide long non-coding RNA is filed under the name Capra hircus (goat). RNAcentral describes it as "lncRNA (ENSCHIG00010021457.1)". Lineage: Eukaryota; Metazoa; Chordata; Mammalia; Artiodactyla; Bovidae. The record is from RNAcentral.